UGGUGACGCCUUUCAUCGCCUCGCCCAUGGCUUGUGUUGAUUUUAGAGUCUGAAUUCUGAGAGAUACACCUUGAAGUUGAGAUUUGAGUGCAUAAAAUUUGGUAAUCUGAUGCCGUGUUCGAAUAAGAUCUUUGGCCAUUACUUUUACAGCUCCCAUUUGCCCUUGUUUGGCGGUUUUCUUGAUCUCCACAAUCAACUUCUUCUCUUGAUUCUGCAGCCCCUGCCUCUCCCUCUCAAUGUCUCUGAUAGAUCUAUCAAGCAUCCGCUUGUUCUCGCGCAGUGCCUCUG
Molecule: unclassified non-coding RNA, 288 nt
Filed under: Hevea brasiliensis (rubber tree)
Lineage: Eukaryota; Viridiplantae; Streptophyta; Magnoliopsida; Malpighiales; Euphorbiaceae
Source: RNAcentral